RNAcentral lists this long non-coding RNA (259 nucleotides) under Lupinus angustifolius (narrow-leaved blue lupine). RNAcentral describes it as "long non-coding RNA (LANG_LNC000267)". The record is from RNAcentral. Lineage: Eukaryota; Viridiplantae; Streptophyta; Magnoliopsida; Fabales; Fabaceae.
UACCACCUCUAGAAGAUAGCAACCACCACAUGCCCUAUGUCUUAGGAACAAGGAUCCUUCGCUGAGUUCUUAUUUUUCCUUUUUAUUUUCAAUAAGAAAAGUGUUGUUUCAUGAUAUGUAAAAGUGUAAGAGUGUCAUCACAUGAUAUUUUUUAUUUUGCUUUGAUUGUUUUGUGUGCCAGAUCAAUCUUUUCAACUCCUAGCAUUGUUUUUUGUUUUGUUUUUUCGAGCUGUUUCUUAGGAUUUUGAUGUUCUCAGCC